Molecule: ribosomal RNA, 250 nt
Filed under: uncultured prokaryote
Description: partial 16S ribosomal RNA
Rfam family: Bacterial small subunit ribosomal RNA
Source: RNAcentral
UACGUAGGGAGCAAGCGUUGUCCGGAUUUACUGGGUGUAAAGGGUGCGUAGGCGGAAUUGCAAGUCAGUCGUGAAAUCUGUGGGCUCAACUCACAAAUUGCGAUUGAAACUGUAGUUCUUGAGUGAAGUAGAGGCAGGCGGAAUUCCCGGUGUAGCGGUGAAAUGCGUAGAGAUCGGGAGGAACACCAGUGGCGAAGGCGGCCUGCUGGGCUUUAACUGACGCCGAGGCACGAAAGCAUGGGUAGCAAAC